GACGAACGCUGGCGGCGUGCUUAACACAUGCAAGUCGAGCGGUAAGGCCCUUUCGGGGUACGACGAGCGGCGAACGGGUGAGUAACACGUGGGUGACCUGCCCUCCAGCUCUGGGAGUAAGCCUCGGGAAACCGGGGUACUAAUACCGGAUAUGACUCCAUGACGCAUGUUGUGGGGUGGAAAGCCUUGUGCGGCUGAGGAUGGGCCCGCGGCCUAUCAGCUUGUUGGUGGGGUGAUGGCCUACCAAGGCGACGACGGGUAGCCGGCCUGAGAGGGCGACCGGCCACACUGGGACUGAGACACGGCCCAGACUCCUACGGGAGGCAGCAGUGGGGGAAUCUUGCGCAAUGGGCGAAAGCCUGACGCAGCGACGCCGCGUGAGGGAUGACGGCCUGUGUA
Molecule: ribosomal RNA, 399 nt
Filed under: uncultured bacterium
Lineage: Bacteria
Description: bacterial SSU rRNA
Rfam family: Bacterial small subunit ribosomal RNA
Source: RNAcentral